GAUGAACGCUGGCGGCGUGCCUAAUACAUGCAAGUCGAGCGAACAGAUAAGGAGCUUGCUCCUUUGACGUUAGCGGCGGACGGGUGAGUAACACGUGGGUAACCUACCUAUAAGACUGGGAUAACUUCGGGAAACCGGAGCUAAUACCGGAUAACAUUUUGAACCGCAUGGUUCUAAAGUGAAAGAUGGUUUUGCUAUCACUUAUAGAUGGACCCGCGCCGUAUUAGCUAGUUGGUAAGGUAACGGCUUACCAAGGCGACGAUACGUAGCCGACCUGGGAGGGGGGACGGCCAACCUGGAAAUGAGACACGGUCCAGACACCGACGGGAGGCAGCAGGAGGGAAUCUUCCGCAAUAGGGGGAAGCCUGACGGAGCAACGCCGCGUGAGGUAGGAAGGGGUUCGGCUCGGAAAACUCUGUUAUUAGGGAAGAACAAAUGUGUAAGUAACUGUGCACGUCUUGACGGUACCUAAUCAGAAAGCCACGGCUAACUACGUG
This 497-nucleotide ribosomal RNA is filed under the name uncultured bacterium. Its description in RNAcentral is "partial 16S ribosomal RNA". It matches the Rfam family "Bacterial small subunit ribosomal RNA", at positions 28 to 507 of the family's 1533-position model. The record is from RNAcentral.